CAGCCAUGGGCUCCCGCGUCGGGAUGCACCGCGAAAACGCCUUUUCCCGCUGACUGCUUUYGAAAGGCAGCGAUCAAGAAAUUUCCUCUCAGGAAGCCACAUAAGAACGUGGAGAGCAACUGUGCUGCAGCUCGAGAGCCCCAGAGGAAACCAGAGCACCUGUUCUGCAGAUCUGCACCCUCCUAGCGCAGUUCUGGUUUCCAAAAAAAGGACUGCUUUAUCUCAAAAAAAAAUCUUCUAAAGAUAUUCUGAUGAGAGAAAUCUCUGCAUUACUGAAGCAUUAAAACAGAAACAGUUGUGUUGCUCUCAGGACGGGUAGGACCUCGCAGCUGGUCACUCCUCGCGCUGAAGGAUCACCCCAGCAAAUGUGACAGCCCGGAGAAGCUGCCUUCCCAUCAGGAGCAACUAAACUGAUGGA
Molecule: long non-coding RNA, 418 nt
Organism: Nothoprocta perdicaria
Lineage: Eukaryota; Metazoa; Chordata; Aves; Tinamiformes; Tinamidae
Exons: 2
Source: RefSeq, a predicted model, not a curated record